This 531-nucleotide ribosomal RNA is filed under the name uncultured bacterium. Its description in RNAcentral is "bacterial SSU rRNA". It matches the Rfam family "Bacterial small subunit ribosomal RNA", at positions 777 to 1306 of the family's 1533-position model. The record is from RNAcentral.
AAUAGAUACCCAGGUAGUCCAUGCCGUAAACGUUGGGAACUAGAUGUAGGGCCUGUUCCACGGGUUCUGUGUCGUAGCUAACGCAUUAAGUUCCCCGCCUGGGGAGUACGGCCGCAAGGCUAAAACUCAAAGGAAUUGACGGGGGCCCGCACAAGCGGCGGAGCAUGCGGAUUAAUUCGAUGCAACGCGAAGAACCUUACCAAGGCUUGACAUAUAGAAGAACACUGCAGAGAUGCAGGACUCUUUGGACACUUCUAUACAGGUGGUGCAUGGUUGUCGUCAGCUCGUGUCGUGAGAUGUUCGGUUAAGUCCGGCAACGAGCGCAACCCUCGUCCUAUGUUGCCAGCACGCGAUGGUGGGAACUCAUGGGAUACUGCCGUGGUCAACACGGAGGAAGGUGGGGAUGACGUCAAAUCAUCAUGCCCCUUAUGUCUUGGGCUUCACGCAUGCUACAAUGGCCGGUACAAAGGGCUGCGAUACCGUAAGGUGGAGCGAAUCCCAAAAAGCCGGUCUCAGUUCGGAUUGGGGUCG